GGCGACGCUGGCGGCGUGCCUAAUACAUGCAAGUCGAGCGGACAGAAGGGAGCUUGCUCCCGGAUGUUAGCGGCGGACGGGUGAGUAACACGUGGGUAACCUGCCUGUAAGACUGGGAUAACUCCGGGAAACCGGAGCUAAUACCGGAUAGUUCCUUGAACCGCAUGGUUCAAGGAUGAAAGACGGUUUCGGCUGUCACUUACAGAUGGACCCGCGGCGCAUUAGCUAGUUGGUGGGGUAAUGGCUCACCAAGGCGACGAUGCGUAGCCGACCUGAGAGGGUGAUCGGCCACACUGGGACUGAGACACGGCCCAGACUCCUACGGGAGGCAGCAGUAGGGAAUCUUCCGCAAUGGACGAAAGUCUGACGGAGCAACGCCGCGUGAGUGAUGAAGGUUUUCGGAUCGUAAAGCUCUGUUGUUAGGGAAGAACAAGUGCGAGAGUAACUGCUCGCACCUUGACGGUACCUAACCAGAAAGCCACGGCUAACUACGUGCCAGCAGCCGCGGUAAUACGUAGGUGGCAAGCGUUGUCCGGAAUUAUUGGGCGUAAAGGGCUCGCAGGCGGUUUCUUAAGUCUGAUGUGAAAGCCCCCGGCUCAACCGGGGAGGGUCAUUGGAAACUGGGAAACUUGAGUGCAGAAGAGGAGAGUGGAAUUCCACGUGUAGCGGUGAAAUGCGUAGAGAUGUGGAGGAACACCAGUGGCGAAGGCGACUUCUGGUCUGUAACUGACGCUGAGGAGCGAAAGCGUGGGGAGCGAACAGGAUUAGAUACCCUGGUAGUCACGCCGUAAACGAUGAGUGCUAAGUGUUAGGGGGUUUCCGCCCCUUAGUGCUGCAGCUAACGCAUUAAGCACUCCGCCUGGGGAGUACGGUCGCAAGACUGAAACUCAAAGGAAUUGACGGGGGCCCGCACAAGCGGUGGAGCAUGUGGUUUAAUUCGAAGCAACGCGAAGAACCUUACCAGGUCUUGACAUCCUCUGACAACCCUAGAGAUAGGGCUUUCCCUUCGGGGACAGAGUGACAGGUGGUGCAUGGUUGUCGUCAGCUCGUGUCGUGAGAUGUUGGGUUAAGUCCCGCAACGAGCGCAACCCUUGAUCUUAGUUGCCAGCAUUCAGUUGGGCACUCUAAGGUGACUGCCGGUGACAAACCGGAGGAAGGUGGGGAUGACGUCAAAUCAUCAUGCCCCUUAUGACCUGGGCUACACACGUGCUACAAUGGACAGAACAAAGGGCUGCAAGACCGCAAGGUUUAGCCAAUCCCAUAAAUCUGUUCUCAGUUCGGAUCGCAGUCUGCAACUCGACUGCGUGAAGCUGGAAUCGCUAGUAAUCGCGGAUCAGCAUGCCGCGGUGAAUACGUUCCCGGGCCUUGUACACACCGCCCGUCACACCACGAGAGUUUGCAACACCCGAAGUCGGUGAGGUAACCUUUAUGGAGCCAGCCGCCGAAGGUGGGGCAGAUGAUUGGGGUGAAGUCGUAACAAGGUAGCCGACGACG
RNAcentral lists this ribosomal RNA (1494 nucleotides) under Bacillus pumilus. RNAcentral's name for it is "bacterial SSU rRNA". It matches the Rfam family "Bacterial small subunit ribosomal RNA". Lineage: Bacteria; Bacillati; Bacillota; Bacilli; Caryophanales; Bacillaceae. The record is from RNAcentral.